This 469-nucleotide ribosomal RNA is filed under the name uncultured bacterium. Its description in RNAcentral is "bacterial SSU rRNA". It matches the Rfam family "Bacterial small subunit ribosomal RNA", at positions 29 to 507 of the family's 1533-position model. The record is from RNAcentral.
AAUGAACGUUGGCGGCGUGGAUUAGGCAUGCAAGUCGUACGAGAAUCGUAGCAAUACGAGGAAAGUGGCGAAAGGGAGAGGAUUACGUGGGAAUCUACCCUCAGACCUGGGAUAGCGGCGGGAAACUGCCGGUAAUACCAGAUAAUGUCUGCGGACCAAAGGUGUGAUUCCGUCUGGGGAUGAGCCCACGUCCUAUUAGCUAGUUGGCAGGGUAAUGGCCUACCAAGGCAAUGAUGGGUAGCGGGUGUGAGAGCAUGACCCGCCUCACUGGGACUGAGAACUGCCCAGACACCUACGGGUGGCUGCAGUCGAGAAUCUUCGGCAAUGAGCGCAAGCUUGACCGAGCGACGCCGCGUGCGGGAUGAAGGCCUUCGGUUGUAACCGCUGUCGUAGGGAGGCGAAGAAAUAGAGGGUUCGUCCCGUCCAAAUUUAGAGCGAUCCUAGGAGGAAGGACGGGCGUAAGUUCGUG